This 439-nucleotide ribosomal RNA is filed under the name uncultured bacterium. RNAcentral's name for it is "partial 16S ribosomal RNA". It matches the Rfam family "Bacterial small subunit ribosomal RNA", at positions 338 to 795 of the family's 1533-position model. The record is from RNAcentral.
CCUACGGGAGGCAGCAGUGGGGAAUAUUGCACAAUGGGCGAAAGCCUGAUGCAGCAACGCCGCGUGAGCGAUGAAGGCCUUCGGGUCGUAAAGCUCUGUCCUCAAGGAAGAUAAUGACGGUACUUGAGGAGGAAGCCCCGGCAAACUACGUGCCAGCAGCCGCGGUAAUACGUAGGGGGCUAGCGUUAUCCGGAAUUACUGGGCGUAAGGGGUGCGUAGGUGGUUUCUUAAGUCAAAGGUGAAAGGCUACGGCUCAACCGUAGUAAGCCUUUGAAACUGGGAAACUUGAGUGCAGGAGAGGAGAGUGGAAUUCCUAGUGUAGCGGUGAAAUGCGUAGAGAUUAGGAGGAACACCAGUGGCGAAGGCGGCUCUCUGGACUGUAACUGACACUGAGGCACGAAAGCGUGGGGAGCAAACAGGAUUAGAUACCCGUGUAGUC